Xenopus laevis (African clawed frog) is the source of this 881-nucleotide long non-coding RNA. RefSeq lists it as uncharacterized. Lineage: Eukaryota; Metazoa; Chordata; Amphibia; Anura; Pipidae. The record is from RefSeq and is a predicted model, not a curated record. The transcript is spliced from 3 exons.
CUUCUCUUCCCCCUCCUUUUCCCAACACCCUCGAUCUUCUCUCCCAAGCUGCACUCCAUUUGGGAGAAACUACAGAUUUUUUUGUAACAGAAGAAACAAAACAACCACUAUGGUAUAUGAAGGGUCAGAGCUUGUAGUGUGUGGCACCACAUCUGAAGGUGCCUCAAUAGCAAAGCCAGAACCAAUUGUCUCCAAUCAAACACAUCCAGUAUUAAAAUAUUCUAUUCAACCCCCAGGAAACCAGCUAAUGCAAAAUGCAAACAAUUUUUUUCCAGCCCAAGUUUUCUAUAUUUCCAUACAAAAAAACAAAGGGAAAAGUAGGAAGGAACAAUUGACAUUUAUCUUUUAAUUAAAGUCAAAAUGAAUCCUGACAAAGAGCUAGACUAAGAAUUAUCUACCUUAUGUUUUGAGGUAAGUGUUACUGCCCAGAUUUUCAGCACCCCAAAGCUUUCGAUCUUCAAAAACAUAAAACAGGAGAUUUUCACCUUUCGUUUCUGCUCAGGUUGCUGUCAAUCAGUUAAUAAAUCAAAAUAUCAUCAAAAUACAUGAAUAGAAAGUGAGGUUACAUCUGGCAAACCUUUAAUUCAAAUAGGUAAAUUCCACGCUUGGUAAAACAUGAAAGACUUCAUUCUUGAGCCCAUCAAUUUAGAAUCAAAUACAUUAUAAUGCCUUGUGCUUUUAAACAACUAUAAUUUCUACAAAGCCAUACAUUGCAAAUAUAAAUUAAUUUCACAAAUCAAGCAAAUGGAUUUCAUUCAAUUCUAGAUUUCCCAGACCAACCCCAGAUAAUUUUUGAUAGUAAAGAGUAAAGGGCAGAUUUACAUAGGGUCGAAUAUCGAGGGUUAAUUAACACUCGAUAUACGACUGCCGAAUGUAAACUG